This is a long non-coding RNA of Fundulus heteroclitus (mummichog), 759 nucleotides long. RefSeq lists it as uncharacterized. The transcript is spliced from 3 exons. Lineage: Eukaryota; Metazoa; Chordata; Actinopteri; Cyprinodontiformes; Fundulidae. The record is from RefSeq and is a predicted model, not a curated record.
CCCCUGCCUUGACCCCCUUCUCCCUCCGCCUCACCCCCUUUUCCCUCUGUCUCUGCCUCCCGCCCAGUCUCUCCUUUAGUCCCUUCUCCCCCUGUCUCUGCUUCUCGCCCUGUGCCUGCUUUCCACCCUUGUCUCAACUUCUCCCCCUUCUUCCCAUGUCUCAACUUCUACCCCUUUCUCUGCUUCAGUCUCUUCUCUCUCUGUUUCUGCUUCUCGCCCUGUGCCUGCUUCCCGCCCUUGUCUCAACUUCUCCCCCUUCUUCCCAUGUCUCGACUUCUCCCCCUGUCUUUGCGAGACGUCCUCCUCCCAAGGCUUGUUGUGGACGGCAAGGUGCUUGCUACGAGUGCUUCAGACCCCUUCCACUAAACUGUCAUUGGUGAUGGCUAGAAGAAUUUGCACUGGACUGAGUAUUGCCGUGGACUGAAGGAGUGACCAAAUUGCCCCGUGACUGGCCAUAGUCUUCAGUUGGGCAUGGCAACCCACGCUGUGGACAAGAAGAUUGGCCAUUUGGUUCUAGGAGAAGAUUCCAGGACACAGAAAACAAUGACAUGUGUAAUUGGCAUCACCUGUAAGACACAGCUGAUCUGUUUCUUACAGGAGAUGCCCAUUACACAUGACCUCAAAUGUAUUUUAGUUCACUUUGUUUGAUCUCUCAUUGUCUGAGAGCAUAUUGUAGGCCUACUUGUAAUUUUAUCAAUUAUUGCCUGUUUGAAGUUAGUUCUGUUUUUUUAGUUAAUAAAUGUGUUCAUUGUCAAUAUA